GAUGAACGCUGGCGGCGUGCCUAAUACAUGCAAGUCGAGCGAACAGACGAGGAGCUUGCUCCUCUGACGUUAGCGGCGGACGGGUGAGUAACACGUGGAUAACCUACCUAUAAGACUGGGAUAACUUCGGGAAACCGGAGCUAAUACCGGAUAAUAUAUUGAACCGCAUGGUUCAAUAGUGAAAGACGGUUUUGCUGUCACUUAUAGAUGGAUCCGCGCCGCAUUAGCUAGUUGGUAAGGUAACGGCUUACCAAGGCAACGAUGCGUAGCCGACCUGAGAGGGUGAUCGGCCAAACUGGAACCGAGACACGGUCCAGACUCCUACGGGAGGCAGCAGUAGGGAAUCUUCCGCAAUGGGCGAAAGCCUGACGGAGCAACGCCGCGUGAGUGAGGAAGGUCUUCGGAUCGUAAAACUCUGUUAUUAGGGAAGAACAAAUGUGUAAGUAACUAUGCACGUCUUGACGGUACCUAAUCAGAAAGCCACGGCUAACUACGU
This 496-nucleotide ribosomal RNA is filed under the name uncultured bacterium. Its description in RNAcentral is "partial 16S ribosomal RNA". It matches the Rfam family "Bacterial small subunit ribosomal RNA", at positions 28 to 506 of the family's 1533-position model. The record is from RNAcentral.